GGUGAGAUGACUGAGAGGCCGAAAGUACUCCCCUGCUAAGGGAGCAUGCGCCCAAAAGCGCAUCGAGGGUUCGAAUCCCUCUCUCACCGCCA
RNAcentral lists this transfer RNA (92 nucleotides) under Succinivibrionaceae bacterium. RNAcentral's name for it is "tRNA-Ser". It matches the Rfam family "tRNA". From Rfam's summary of the family: Transfer RNA (tRNA) molecules are approximately 80 nucleotides in length. The record is from RNAcentral. RNAcentral also lists the same sequence under 1 other name. Lineage: Bacteria; Pseudomonadati; Pseudomonadota; Gammaproteobacteria; Aeromonadales; Succinivibrionaceae.